RNAcentral lists this long non-coding RNA (716 nucleotides) under Durio zibethinus. RNAcentral describes it as "long non-coding RNA (DZIB_LNC002391)". The record is from RNAcentral. Lineage: Eukaryota; Viridiplantae; Streptophyta; Magnoliopsida; Malvales; Malvaceae.
AAGAAAUGAGAAAAGAGAAAUUAAAAAAAAAGGAAAAAAUGGGAAAAGAAAAAGAAAUAAAAUGAUUGAGCAAAAAAAUGAAAAAAUGAAAGGAAAAAUGCCUCAAAGUGAAUCCUUUAAAUGAAAAACAAUGAUCAUUGGUUUAAUCACCCUUAAAGCCCAAUGCUCUACCAACUGAGCUAUACACCCAAAAAAAGAUUGAGUAGUAAAUAAGGAUUGGUGCGGAAAAGAAAAGAGGGCGGCCCCUCUUCUUCUCAUCAUAUUAAAGGGGCUUGGGCUCUAAAGCCGGCCUUACUCAACAAGCACCUUCAUUAGUAAGGUUGCUUGUUUCCACUCAUUGAAGAUUCUAUCUAAAAAAGAAGGUCAACGGGGGAUACUAAAGUUGCUCUCACUGACACCAUCUACGAGAAGGUGAGGUCGUCUUUCUUUCCAGCCAUCAUACGGUUCGCCUUAAAGCCUUAAGGACACUUAUUUUGGGCUUAUCUAUUCCUUUCUUUAGAAAUCCCAAGCCUUAGCCCACAUUACAUCUUUAGAAAAGUCAAUAUUGGAUCAAGUGUGAAUGCUUAAAAUUGAAUAGUUUCUCUUUGAGGAACGACUAUAAAAUCAAUAAACCUUUUUCUUCUUUCUUUAUUACCUAAUUACCUAUUUCCACCAUUAGCUCAUUUUGUGUAAGUUUGAGUUCUUAAGUGCAAGAUGUAAUCAUAAAAAAAAUAAAA